Molecule: ribosomal RNA, 253 nt
Filed under: uncultured bacterium
Lineage: Bacteria
Description: partial 16S ribosomal RNA
Rfam family: Bacterial small subunit ribosomal RNA
Source: RNAcentral
UACGAAGGGUCCAAGCGUUGUUCGGAUUUAUUGGGCGUAAAGCGCGCGCAGGUGGAUCAGCAAGUCAGAUGUGAAAUCUCAGGGCUUAACCCUGAUACUGCGUCUGAAACUGCUAGUCUAGAGUGUUGGAGGGGGUAGGGGAAUUUCACGUGUAGGGGUAAAAUCCGUAGAGAUGUGAAGGAACACCGGAGGCGAAGGCGCCUACCUGGACAACUACUGACACUGAGGCGCGAAAGCCAGGGGAGCAAACGGG